Long non-coding RNA from Pezoporus flaviventris, 590 nucleotides. RefSeq lists it as uncharacterized. The transcript has 4 exons. The record is from RefSeq and is a predicted model, not a curated record. NCBI's taxonomy places the organism in Eukaryota, Metazoa, Chordata, Aves, Psittaciformes, Psittacidae.
GAGCUGGGCACAGGCACUGCCCUGCUGCCCAAAGGCCUGCACGUGACGGUGGGGCUGGCACAGCACCAACGACCCAGCUGGAGUCCGCAGUGGUGGAGCAGCUGCUUGUGGAUUCCUUGGACAAAGCUUACGGCAAACAAGUCUUGACCUGGAAUGGCGGCGUCUCGGCUGUCAGUUGGCAUGCCAUGCAGUCUGCAGCCUCAGCGUGCAGGAAGACCAUCAUCGAUGAGUGGGAUGAGGAGUUUGACAGAGGGCAGGUGAAGAAGGUUAAAAAGCGGAGGAGGGAGCAGAGACACCAGAAACCCUGGCAGUGGCUGCACCGCCAGCGCAGCUUCUGGGCAGUGACGCAUGCGGCCAAGGCAGCGAGCCUGCGCCACCGGCUCUGAGCCGGAAUGCCAGCGAGCGGGAGGAGAGGUCCCUGCCAUGGAGCCCUGUCCUGGGAGCUGCUGUGGAGGGAAGAGGACACCGCUGCCCACAUCUCCACGCUCGAUGUCCCUGCCUUCUGCUGUGAAGGAGCCCAGGAGGACCGUGCCUUGUCCGGGCUCCUUCAGCAGCUUCCCUGCGCCUAGGCCUGGAGCAGCCCUUUCUCC